RNAcentral lists this ribosomal RNA (1919 nucleotides) under Salmonella enterica subsp. enterica serovar Typhi. RNAcentral describes it as "partial 23S ribosomal RNA". It matches the Rfam family "Bacterial large subunit ribosomal RNA", at positions 1042 to 2925 of the family's 2925-position model. Lineage: Bacteria; Pseudomonadati; Pseudomonadota; Gammaproteobacteria; Enterobacterales; Enterobacteriaceae. The record is from RNAcentral.
AGGUCCCAAAGUCAUGGUUAAGUGGGAAACGAUGUGGGAAGGCCCAGACAGCCAGGAUGUUGGCUUAGAAGCAGCCAUCAUUUAAAGAAAGCGUAAUAGCUCACUGGUCGAGUCGGCCUGCGCGGAAGAUGUAACGGGGCUAAACCAUGCACCGAAGCUGCGGCAGCGACACUCAGGUGUUGUUGGGUAGGGGAGCGUUCUGUAAGCCUGUGAAGGUGGCCUGUGAGGGUUGCUGGAGGUAUCAGAAGUGCGAAUGCUGACAUAAGUAACGAUAAAGCGGGUGAAAAGCCCGCUCGCCGGAAGACCAAGGGUUCCUGUCCAACGUUAAUCGGGGCAGGGUGAGUCGACCCCUAAGGCGAGGCCGAAAGGCGUAGUCGAUGGGAAACGGGUUAAUAUUCCCGUACUUGGUGUUACUGCGAAGGGGGGGACGGAGAAGGCUAUGUUGGCCGGGCGACGGUUGUCCCGGUUUAAGCGUGUAGGUGUGUGUUCCAGGUAAAUCCGGUUCACUUUAACACUGAGGCGUGACGACGAGGCACUACGGUGCUGAAGCAACAAAUGCCCUGCUUCCAGGAAAAGCCUCUAAGCAUCAGGUAACAUCAAAUCGUACCCCAAACCGACACAGGUGGUCAGGUAGAGAAUACCAAGGCGCUUGAGAGAACUCGGGUGAAGGAACUAGGCAAAAUGGUGCCGUAACUUCGGGAGAAGGCACGCUGACACGUAGGUGAAGUGAUUUACUCAUGGAGCUGAAGUCAGUCGAAGAUACCAGCUGGCUGCAACUGUUUAUUAAAAACACAGCACUGUGCAAACACGAAAGUGGACGUAUACGGUGUGACGCCUGCCCGGUGCCGGAAGGUUAAUUGAUGGGGUCAGCGCAAGCGAAGCUCCUGAUCGAAGCCCCGGUAAACGGCGGCCGUAACUAUAACGGUCCUAAGGUAGCGAAAUUCCUUGUCGGGUAAGUUCCGACCUGCACGAAUGGCGUAAUGAUGGCCAGGCUGUCUCCACCCGAGACUCAGUGAAAUUGAACUCGCUGUGAAGAUGCAGUGUACCCGCGGCAAGACGGAAAGACCCCGUGAACCUUUACUAUAGCUUGACACUGAACAUUGAGCCUUGAUGUGUAGGAUAGGUGGGAGGCUUUGAAGUGUGGACGCCAGUCUGCAUGGAGCCGACCUUGAAAUACCACCCUUUAAUGUUUGAUGUUCUAACGUGGACCCGUUACCCGGGUUGCGGACAGUGUCUGGUGGGUAGUUUGACUGGGGCGGUCUCCUCCUAAAGAGUAACGGAGGAGCACGAAGGUUGGCUAAUCCUGGUCGGACAUCAGGAGGUUAGUGCAAUGGCAUAAGCCAGCUUGACUGCGAGCGUGACGGCGCGAGCAGGUGCGAAAGCAGGUCAUAGUGAUCCGGUGGUUCUGAAUGGAAGGGCCAUCGCUCAACGGAUAAAAGGUACUCCGGGGAUAACAGGCUGAUACCGCCCAAGAGUUCAUAUCGACGGCGGUGUUUGGCACCUCGAUGUCGGCUCAUCACAUCCUGGGGCUGAAGUAGGUCCCAAGGGUAUGGCUGUUCGCCAUUUAAAGUGGUACGCGAGCUGGGUUUAGAACGUCGUGAGACAGUUCGGUCCCUAUCUGCCGUGGGCGCUGGAGAACUGAGGGGGGCUGCUCCUAGUACGAGAGGACCGGAGUGGACGCAUCACUGGUGUUCGGGUUGUCAUGCCAAUGGCACUGCCCGGUAGCUAAAUGCGGAAGAGAUAAGUGCUGAAAGCAUCUAAGCACGAAACUUGCCCCGAGAUGAGUUCUCCCUGAGACUUUAGGUCUCCUGAAGGAACGUUGAAGACGACGACGUUGAUAGGCCGGGUGUGUAAGCGCAGCGAUGCGUUGAGCUAACCGGUACUAAUGAACCGUGAGGCUUAACCUUACAACGCCGAAG